UACGUAGGUGGCAAGCGUUGUCCGGAAUUAUUGGGCGUAAAGCGCGCGCAGGCGGUUUUCUAAGUCUGAUGUGAAAUCUUGCGGCUCAACCGUGAGCGGUCAUUGGAAACUGGAGAACUUGAGUGCAGAAGAGAAGAGCGGAAUUCCACGUGUAGCGGUGAAAUGCGUAGAGAUGUGGAGGAACACCAGUGGCGAAGGCGGCUCUUUGGUCUGUAACUGACGCUGAGGCGCGAAAGCGUGGGGAGCGAACAGG
Molecule: ribosomal RNA, 253 nt
Filed under: uncultured bacterium
Lineage: Bacteria
Description: partial 16S ribosomal RNA
Rfam family: Bacterial small subunit ribosomal RNA
Source: RNAcentral